ACAUCAACCUCUUGAAACAGUUAUUCUUUUGGGACCCGUAGCAUAUGUGUAGACAUGUGCACACAAAGAUAGAAGAUAUGCAAGUUCAUCAUGGAAGAAAGAAGGCAGACCAGCUCCAUGAACCAAGGUGCAGCUCCCAGCUCACUAUACUUGAGGCCACUGCAGUGCCACUUCACAUGGUGCAGGAGUAAACAUUGACCUUGCAGGUCUGAAAACAUCUGCCUUUAGUUAUUUCUCAUUUUGGAGAAAGAAGAUUUUGAAACUGAAGAUUUAAGUAAUUUGCCAGAGUCAGAAUGCUGUAAGCAUCAGAACUCGAUUUUCGAACUUAAGUUUAUCUGACUCAAAAGCUUUUGCCUUUCACCACCACCCUAUUGCUUCUAAAAUGUCAAACAUCGGCUGAACCACAGGACAGGUAUCCUAUAAAUGAGGAGGAUGUGGAUGCACCCCCAUGUGUACGUAAGGACACACGAGCUAAAGGCUUUACCUGACCCAGUAAAAGUGUCAAGCGCUCCAUCUCCAGUCGUGGCUGUGGUUUCACUGCUGUUCAAGGGCUCUGUUUUGACUGCAAGAAGAGACACUACGUAGAAGAAUAAGUACAUGGUAGAACAAAAUGGAAAAGUAGAAAUAAAACAUUUAUUCUGUCACAGAAAAUAAGCUGCAUUCAUACUAAGUGAGCAUCAACAAGCACCUCUUGAUCUCUAAGACAGCAAACCAAAAUCAUUACAUGCAAUAAAAUGGAAGCAAAAUCCUUUUAUAGAAGACAAGCACCGUAUUUCUCAACCAAAUGCAAGCUUACACACCAAAUGUUUUGAUUUCAAAAGAAACAAUAUUUUAAUGUCCUAGGUUGAAGAGUUUUGUGGGAUUAUUAUUCUGUAUCUUCAAAGUAAGUGAGUCAGAGCUCGUUUUGCUAAAAGUGGCAUAAAAUUACUUUCUAUACCACUUUGUCGAGAACCGUUAAGAAAUCCUUGUACUGUCAGGUCCCCCUCCCCACUAGUUAGCUACUUGCAAUUUGGAUGUUUCUGAUAGAGUCAAAUGGUAAAAAUAAAUAAACAUACAUGA
Molecule: long non-coding RNA, 1059 nt
Filed under: Homo sapiens (human)
Lineage: Eukaryota; Metazoa; Chordata; Mammalia; Primates; Hominidae
Description: HSALNT0337001
Source: RNAcentral